RNAcentral lists this ribosomal RNA (468 nucleotides) under uncultured bacterium. Its description in RNAcentral is "partial 16S ribosomal RNA". It matches the Rfam family "Bacterial small subunit ribosomal RNA", at positions 28 to 507 of the family's 1533-position model. The record is from RNAcentral.
GACGAACGCUGGCGGCGUGCUUAACACAUGCAAGUCGAACGGAAAGGCCCUGCUUUUGUGGGGUGCUCGAGUGGCGAACGGGUGAGUAACACGUGAGUAACCUGCCCUUGACUUUGGGAUAACUUCAGGAAACUGGGGCUAAUACCGGAUAGGAGCUCCUGCUGCAUGGUGGGGGUUGGAAAGUUUCGGCGGUUGGGGAUGGACUCGCGGCUUAUCAGCUUGUUGGUGGGGUAGUGGCUUACCAAGGUUUUGACGGGUAGCCGGCCUGAGAGGGUGACCGGCGACAUUGGGACUGAGAUACGGCCCAGACUCCUACGGGAGGCAGCAGUGGGGAAUAUUGCACAAUGGGCGGAAGCCUGAUGCAGCAACGCCGCGUGCGGGAUGACGGCCUUCGAGUUGUAAACCGCUUUCGCCUGUGACGAAGCGUGAGUGACGGUAAUGGGUAAAGAAGCACCGGCUAACUACGUG